This 359-nucleotide ribosomal RNA is filed under the name Nephroselmis pyriformis. RNAcentral's name for it is "partial Bacterial large subunit ribosomal RNA". It matches the Rfam family "Bacterial large subunit ribosomal RNA", at positions 1966 to 2324 of the family's 2925-position model. The record is from RNAcentral. Lineage: Eukaryota; Viridiplantae; Chlorophyta; Nephroselmidophyceae; Nephroselmidales; Nephroselmidaceae.
UCCUUGUCGGGUAAGUUCCGACCUGCACGAAUGGCGUAACGAUGGCGGCGCUGUCUCCACCCGAGACUCAGUGAAAUUGAAAUCGCUGUGAAGAUGCAGUGUAUCCGCGGCUAGACGGAAAGACCCCGUGAACCUUUACUAUAGCUUUGCACUGGACUUUGAAUUUGCUUGUGUAGGAUAGGUGGGAGGCUUUGAAGCGUGGACGCCAGUCUGCGUGGAGCCUCCCUUGAGAUACCACCCUUGUUCUGCUUGAUGUCUAACCGCGGUCCAUUAUCUGGAUCCGGGACCCUGUGUGGCGGGUAGUUUGACUGGGGCGGGCGCCUCCUAAAAGGUAACGGGGGCGUGCAAAGGUUCCCUCC